GAACCAGACUGGAUGUUGGAAGUGAUGUCCGUCCCACCCUGACGGUGCUGCCCCCCUCCAGUGAGGAGCUGCAGCAGGGGAAGGCCACGCUCAUGUGCCUGGCCAACAAGGGCUUCCCCUCAGACUGGAGUCUGGCCUGGAAGGUGGACGGCAGCAGCAGCAGCAGCAGCUGGGAGGAGAGCAGGAGCCCCGGGGUGCUGGAGAAGGACGGCCGCUACAGCUGGAGCAGCACCCUGAGGCUCCCUGCAGACCAGUGGAGGAAGGUGGGCUCUGUGACCUGUGAGGCCACCCAGGGCUCCCAGGCUCCGCUCUCAGAGACACUGAGGAGAGACCAGUGUUCCCAGUCCUGACUUGACUCACUUGGACUCUGCUACUGGUUUUACUCUGCUACUGCUCUCUGAACUCUGUAACUCUCUCUGUGUCUGUG
This is a non-coding RNA of Micropterus dolomieu (smallmouth bass), 427 nucleotides long. NCBI's taxonomy places the organism in Eukaryota, Metazoa, Chordata, Actinopteri, Centrarchiformes, Centrarchidae. The record is from the annotation of a RefSeq genome assembly.